This 266-nucleotide long non-coding RNA is filed under the name Pan troglodytes (chimpanzee). RNAcentral describes it as "lincRNA". Lineage: Eukaryota; Metazoa; Chordata; Mammalia; Primates; Hominidae. The record is from RNAcentral.
AUAAUUGACAAUAGGCUUCCAUGGAAGUCUUCUGUGCAUUUCUGCAAAAAUUUAGGAAACAUUAGGUUUGACACCAUCAUCAUGUUUGCCAAGGCAGCAAAAAUCCCAGCCGGCAAAGCUUCUAGUAUGAUGAAGCGGAACAGCAAGGACAGCAUGGAAUGACUGAUCAUUUCAGAAUGCCGUCUAGCGAGAGUUUCCAAUGUGGGAGUUUUCCAUUGUUUUGAAGCAGGAGAAAUAGGGACCGGCUGCUUUGGAAGAAACAUGCU